Molecule: long non-coding RNA, 3247 nt
Filed under: Lactuca sativa (garden lettuce)
Lineage: Eukaryota; Viridiplantae; Streptophyta; Magnoliopsida; Asterales; Asteraceae
Description: long non-coding RNA (LSAT_LNC000883)
Source: RNAcentral
GGUAUCAAAGUAAUUCGAUCAAAUUAGAGGCGUAAACCCUUGAAGAUUAGACUUGACGAUUUUCGUUAAUAGGCGGGAUCGGUUGUGACUUUUGGGGGGAUCGGUUGUGUGUUACGUCGAUUGAGGUCAAUAGGCGGUAAAUACGAGAAGAUAUACACGCCGAUUUUAUGAUCUGAUAGAAUUAAGCGGGAUCGGUUUUGUUUUUUUGGGGGGGAACGGUUGUGUGAUACAUGUGUAAUCGACGAUUGAGGUUAGUAGGCAGCAAAUUAGAAAAAAUAUACCCGCCCAAUUUAUGAUCAGAUAGAGAUUUGAGCGGGGUUAGUGAUUUUCUUAUCCAAUUUAUGAUACAUGUGUAAUCGACGAUCGGUUAUGAUUUUUCACAGUUGUUUCGGCAUUGAUGAUCUUUCAAUAUCUUCUUAAGGGUAUUUUAUUUAUCUAUUCUCAGUCAAUUCUCACUUAUUUGCUGUUAGCUGAUUAUCAGUUGUGAGUCGAUAGAUUACCAUCAUAAAAAGUGGUCAAUUUGUUCAAUUUGAAUUUUGUAUAUCGAUAUCUUAGUUGAGUGUCAAUUAUUUAUGAAAUUUGAUUUUACAAACUAAGAUUGUGAAGUGGAAACUAUAAUUUAACAGAUUAUGCAAUAUCUCUAGAUCACUAAUUUCAGUGUUAAUGGAUACUAUGUUACUCAUAUAGGGAGGUUCAAACAAUAUCGGCACCUUCUUGUGACUAACACAUGUUUCAUAUUGAUUUUCCUCAUAUACUUUCAUCAUAAACUCCAAUCGGUUAAUGACCAUACUUUUAUUUAGAUUACUUUCUUCAGCAACUACAUCAACAUCUACCUCCAACUUGUCAGGAACAUUAUCAUCAGCAUCCUCAUAUGAAAGCAAAUUAAAUGAAGGCAUUGAUUCUAAAAAUUUAACUUUCUUCCUUGAUCUGAUGCUUAUAAUUAUUUUAGUUUUAUAUUCAUAUCAAUAUUAUAAUUAUAUUGGCAUUUAUGGGAUUCUAAAUUUCAUAAAGAAUUGCCAUAUUUCUCUCUUGACAUAUCUUCUGGAAAAUAAUGUGUUAUCAUCCAUUACUAGUCGACCCAGAAGAGUAAUCAGAAAACCCAACAGAUACUUGCAUUAAUUCUGGCUCUUAGUAAUUCAAUCAGUUACAUAUGAUGUCUUUUAAUUCCAAAAAUGUUGUGUUAUGCAGUUAACUAUGCAAAAAGUACUUUAUAAAAAACUAACAUUUUGAUAUAUAUGCACAAGGAUAUUUAUUAUCGAUGGAUAGUGGACAGUCUUUGAUAUCUACGCAAAGGGAUGGUACUGUCAAAGUAUUUAAUUGUAUGUGUUUACUAAUUGGUCAUUUCAGUUCAUUUAGUACUGUUUUGAAAGUUUGAUGAAUAAUUGUAGUUGCUCUUACUUAUCAGAUUUCAGUGGAAGAAAUUUAAGACUUGAUUUCGAACAAAAGGUCUCAAUUAUAUGUGUGGUUUUUUCUGCUUGUUUGAAGCACUAGCUAGUAGUAGGAUGUACUAUUAUAUUAACCAAAACAUACCAGAUAUACUAUUUUAUAUUAAGAAAAGAAAGAUAUUUUAACACACUAAAAGAUAUUUUUUGUUUUAAUCAAGCUUGAGUAUAUGUAGGUUUAUUUUAUGAUACAUAGUUAUGUAUAUAUAAUUUUUAAAUUUUAUUCAAGCUUAUUGUAUGUCGUUAUUAAUUUUUGAUUUGAGUUCGAUUAACUAAUUGUUGGAUUUCUGCACAUCAUUAUAUAUAAAUUGUUCAUUUAUAAAUAUCAAGUUGAUGAAUAUGCUAUAGUAAACUCUAGUAUUUUCAUGUUUUCGUUGAAGUAUUCUUAUAAAUUGAUUGAUGUAGGUGAAGAAGAUCAAUUGUGUGAUUAUAAUCAUAUCAUGACACCCAAACCUUCAGGAAAAAGUGAAAAAUGUUCUGGAUUUGAAUCUUCUCCUUCAUAUAGUUUCCUUAGCCCAGGAGUAUUAAAGGAAAUAGAUGAAAUCAUAUACAGAAGAACCAAAAAGAAACUUGAAUUCAUGGAUGAAAAUUCUACAGGAACAGGAAUUGAUAUUUGCAGUUCAGCUUCUAGUCUUUGUUCUCCGUAUAUGAACAAAAUAGUUUCAAUUAGAAGCAAGAUUACUGAUAUUGAGAUUGAUAUUUGCAAGUCAAUAUUAUGUUCAAAUAGAAAUCUUCGGUAAUGUGAAUGUUAUAAUAUUAUCAUAAUUUUUAUUUUAAUAUUAGCUGAUUUUUUUAUUUAAUAAUUUUAUAGGGAAACCAUAUGGGAGUUAAAAGAUGCUCAACUUAUGUUUGUUGAAGAUUCAUAUUGUUUUGAAGCAAACAAGCCUAUUAGUUGUAAUGUUAUUGAUUGUUGGUCAUCUUUCCUUAACAUUAUUUACACACCAAACUUAGUUAUGGCACCAUCCAGAGUAUUCUUCCAUACAAAAAUAUUGGUUAGUUAAAAUAUUAUUUUUAUUUAAAAUUAAUAUAUACUAACUUUUUGAUAUAUCCAAUCAUAAUACAGAGUAAUUAUAUUCUUGAUGAAACGAUAUCAGAUCUACACAAAUUUGAUAAGUUUAAAUCGAUAGUUCAAUAAUACAAUUUAAGGUUCUAUGACAAAUAUCCAUUUACUGACGUAGAUCUGGUAAAUAUCAUGUUUCAUUAUAUAUAGAGCUAAUAACAUUUCAUACAUUAUAUAUUUUUUAUGUUUAUACGUGCAGUUUUUUUUUCCUAUUGUUAAUGGGCCAAAAUAUUAUUUAAUAUGUUUUGAUUUGAGGAAACCUGCUUGGAUGAUCAUAGACCAUAUUUAUAAUAAUGGAGAUGUGGAAACAAUCGUAUGGAAAUAUUCCUAGAAUAUUGGUAGGGUAUGAAGUACUUUAAUUUACUAUCUUUUUAUAAUAGUAACUUAUUGAAUUAUAUUUAAUAUAUAAAUAAUUUAAUAAUAAAAAUUGUUUAUUUGUUUUAUGCAGCAUUACUUCUUCUGCCUUUAUUUAUUUUAUGUUGGUCAUGAAAAAGAAAGUGUUUUUGAAAAAUUUAGCAUAUGUGGUUGGUUUUAAGGAAAAUAUCUUAAAUGCAGUUUGAUAUGUAAAGUUAUCAUGAAUUUUGUUAUUAUGUUAUUGAUUUUAUUGUUUAUAACUUAAAUGAAGUUUGAUAUGUAAAGUAAUCUUGAAUGUUGAUAUUUCUGUUGUUAUUUACCUUAUUAUCACUAUGUUAAAUAUCAUUGAAAUAAUUUUUUGCAAAUAGUUUUCCUUUUUUUCCUGUCUGUG